This 1387-nucleotide long non-coding RNA is filed under the name Homo sapiens (human). Its description in RNAcentral is "HSALNT0290678". The record is from RNAcentral. Lineage: Eukaryota; Metazoa; Chordata; Mammalia; Primates; Hominidae.
CCCGCCUCGGCCUCCCAAAGUGCUGGGAUUACAGGCGUGAGCCACUGCGCUCAGCCUCCCUUUUUUUUUUUAAGCCAGAAUCCCAGAUCUUAUAGAGAAUUUCCCAAUUUUUUUUUUUUUUUUUUUUUGAGACAGGGUUACACUGUCACCCAGGCUGGAGUACAGUGGCAUGAUCUCGGCUCACUGCACCCUCCUCCUUCUGGGUUCAAGUGAUCCUCCCACCUCAGUCUCCUGAGUGCAGGGACUACAGGCUUGCGCCACCAUGCCCAGCUAAUUGUUCAUUUUUGGGUAGAGAGGAGGUCUCACUAUGUUGCCAGGCUGGUCUCCAACUCCUAGGCUCAAGCGAUCCACCCACCUGAGCCUUCCAAAGUGCUGGGAUUACAGGUCUGAGCUACUGUGCCUGGCCCUCAGUGUUUUAAAACACGGCACCCGUGCUCAGCAAUGGCUGGGGAGUGUGUGAGUUGGAGGAUGUCUCCAGCCUGAGCCAAGUUGACCAUCCCAGUCUCCCACGCCUCUUCCUUCCUACAGAGCAGAGGUUUUCAACUGAUGUGGGGGUGAUUCUGCCCCCAGGAUGAGAACCUGCUGUGUUGGUGUUGGUGGCAGCGGUAGCCCAAGCGAAGACGGCAUUUCCUAGCUUUCCUCGCAUCCAGGAAGGAUCACAGGACCGGUUCUUGCCAAUGCACUAAGGGCGGAAGUGAUGUAUGUCACUUCCAGGAUUAAGUGGUUAAAAAGCAGGCGUGGUUCCCACCAUCAAGGUGCUGGCCAGAUAGGAAGGACAUCCAGAACUUACAGGGGGUGGCAGAGCCACCCCUGGAAAGAUCCUGGGUCCCAGUCACCUGAGCAGGGGCGCUGAUGUUGGAGCAGUGUAUCCCAAAGUUCAACAGAAGCUGCUGGUUUGUGUCCUUUGAGCAGUUGAUGUUCCAGCACCAGGCCUGGAGGCUUUCUCUCAGAACUUCAUGGGGAAGGUCAGGAGUGCCAGUGUUAAUUUCCCCAGGAGCAGCCCUCGGCCAAUGAGAGGUGAGAGUUGAAGAAUAAAUACCCCUGCUCCCUCGCCCCUUGGGUGAGAUAUCUCUGAAGUGUCGCUCCCACACCAUCUCCCAGAGGUCCUUCGUGGGGUUGAGCCCUGGCCAGCCUCAGUGGCAACCUGUUUAAAAACACAUCUUUCUCAACAUCCUUCCCUUUCCUGUCUUGCUUCCUCAUUCCCCAAUUUGUGCAGCUUUCUGGGUUCUUCUAAUAAACAAACUGCUUGUGCUGAGUUCUGUCUCAGGUUCUGUCUCCGUGGAAACCCAAUGCAAGAUAACAAAGUGUGGUUUGUCAGACAACCCACAGGGAGAAAAUCUUCACAAUCUAUACAUCCAACAAAGGAUAAAUACACAGAAUCUACAAG